RNAcentral lists this ribosomal RNA (776 nucleotides) under uncultured bacterium. Its description in RNAcentral is "bacterial SSU rRNA". It matches the Rfam family "Bacterial small subunit ribosomal RNA", at positions 61 to 872 of the family's 1533-position model. The record is from RNAcentral.
GUCGAACGCCGGACCCACCUCGGUGGGCGAGGCAGUGGCGAACGGCUGAGUAACACGUGGGCACCUGCCCCCCUCCCCGGGACAGCCUCGGGAAACCGUGGGUAAUACCGGAUAUCUCGCAUGGGGAAAGCUCCGCGGGGGGGGAUGGGCCCGCGGCCUGUUAGCUAGUUGGCGGGGCAACGGCCCACCAAGGCGACUAUGGGUAGCUGGGUUGAGAGACCGACCAGCCAGAUUGGGACUGAGACACGGCCCAGACUCCUACGGGAGGCAGCAGUGGGGAAUCUUGCGCAAUGGGCGGAAGCCUGACGCAGCGACGCCGCGUGCGGGAGGAAGGCCCUCGGGUCGUAAACCGCUUUCAGCAGGGACGAGCCGCAAGGUGACGGUACCUGCAGAAGAAGCCCCGGCUAACUACGUGCCAGCAGCCGCGGUAAUACGUAGGGGGCGAGCGUUAUCCGGAUUCAUUGGGCGUAAAGCGCUCGUAGGCGGCCUGCUAGGUCGGGAGUCAAAUGCGGGGGCCCAACCCCCGGCCGCUCCCGAUACCGGCGGGCUUGAGUUUGGUAGGGGAAGGCGGAAUUCCCGGUGUAGCGGUGGAAUGCGCAGAUAUCGGGAAGAACACCGGUGGCGAAGGCGGCCUUCUGGGCCACAACUGACGCUGAGGAGCGAGAGCUGGGGGAGCGAACAGGAUUAGAUACCCUGGUAGUCCCAGCCGUAAACGAUGGACACUAGGUGUGGGGGGACGCCCCUCCGUGCCGCAGCCAACGCAUUAAGUGUCCCGC